GACGAACGCUGGCGGCGCGCCUAACACAUGCAAGUCGAACGAGCGAGAGAGAGCUUGCUUUCUCGAGCGAGUGGCGAACGGGUGAGUAACGCGUGAGGAACCUGCCUCAAAGAGGGGGACAACAGUUGGAAACGACUGCUAAUACCGCAUAAGCCCACGGCUCGGCAUCGAGCAGGGGGAAAAGGAGCAAUCCGCUUUGAGAUGGCCUCGCGUCCGAUUAGCUAGUUGGUGAGGUAACGGCCCACCAAGGCGACGAGCGGUAGCCGGACUGAGAGGUUGAACGGCCACAUUGGGACUGAGACACGGCCCAGACUCCUACGGGAGGCAGCAGUGUGGAAUAUUGCACGAUGGGGGAAACCCUGAUGCAGCGACGCCGCGUGGAGGAGGAAGGUCGUCGGAUUGUAAACUCCUGUUGUUGGGGAAGAUAAUGACGGUACCCAACAAGGAAGUGACGGCUAACUACGUG
RNAcentral lists this ribosomal RNA (466 nucleotides) under uncultured bacterium. RNAcentral's name for it is "partial 16S ribosomal RNA". It matches the Rfam family "Bacterial small subunit ribosomal RNA", at positions 28 to 507 of the family's 1533-position model. The record is from RNAcentral.